AAUAGAUACCCCGGUAGUCCACGCCGUAAACGAUGAGCGCUAAGUGUUAGAGGGUUUCCGCCCUUUAGUGCUGCAGCUAACGCAUUAAGCACUCCGCCUGGGGAGUACGGCCGCAAGGCUGAAACUCAAAGGAAUUGACGGGGGCCCGCACAAGCGGUGGAGCAUGUGGUUUAAUUCGAAGCAACGCGAAGAACCUUACCAGGUCUUGACAUCCUCUGCCAACCCUAGAGAUAGGGUGUUCCCCUUCGGGGGACAGAGUGACAGGUGGUGCAUGGUUGUCGUCAGCUCGUGUCGUGAGAUGUUGGGUUAAGUCCCGCAACGAGCGCAACCCUUGAUCUUAGUUGCCAGCAUUUAGUUGGGCACUCUAAGGUGACUGCCGGUGACAAACCGGAGGAAGGUGGGGAUGACGUCAAAUCAUCAUGCCCCUUAUGACCUGGGCUACACACGUGCUACAAUGGAUGGUACAAAGAGCUGCGAACCCGCGAGGGUAAGCCAAUCUCAUAAAGCCAUUCUCAGUUCGGA
This 522-nucleotide ribosomal RNA is filed under the name uncultured bacterium. Its description in RNAcentral is "bacterial SSU rRNA". It matches the Rfam family "Bacterial small subunit ribosomal RNA", at positions 777 to 1297 of the family's 1533-position model. The record is from RNAcentral.